Molecule: long non-coding RNA, 514 nt
Organism: Priapulus caudatus
Lineage: Eukaryota; Metazoa; Priapulida; Priapulimorpha; Priapulimorphida; Priapulidae
Exons: 3
Source: RefSeq, a predicted model, not a curated record
ACGCCGUUUUUCGCGUGCGAACUCCAGCGCGGUUCCUACCUUUGCACGACGACCAGUAGGGGUAUGAGGAAUGGCGGAGAACUGGCGAGACAACUGAGUCCUGCAGAUGUCUCGAGAACGAUCCUGUCCUGUUGUCAAUGGUGACGAUCCGUGUCUCCCAACUACGAUGAUGACUCUCUCUCUCUCUCUCUUUCUCUCUCUCUCUCUCUCUCUUUCUCUCUCUCUCUCUCUCGUGCGCGCUUCGGCUCUUGCUCUCCUGUGUAGCUAGGUUUUCCCGGCCGUUGAUACACUCGUUAUCGCGCUGCGGUGCCUUACCGACUAUAGAUGCAACAGUCCCUGCUUAUGGCGAUGUUGUGUAUAACCCAACGAUGGACACGGGGUUAAAGAAGUGAUUAUCCCACUGGGCUAGUGAGCAUAGCACACACAGCACACGCGCGAGGGCUAGGCGGCGACAAAUCACCUCUGUUCAGCUGUUCAGCUUCGCCUGUCAUGUAGGCGAGCAGACGAUAAUGAG